GGGGAGUUGAUGAUGAGAUGAUGAUUGCAUAGUUCAGCAGAUAAUGAUGAAGACAAUGAGUUUCGUCUUUCGCUCUUAUCUGACUUGACCUCUC
Callorhinchus milii (elephant shark) is the source of this 94-nucleotide small nucleolar RNA. RefSeq annotates it as small nucleolar RNA snR60/Z15/Z230/Z193/J17. The record is from RefSeq and is a predicted model, not a curated record. The transcript has a single exon. Lineage: Eukaryota; Metazoa; Chordata; Chondrichthyes; Chimaeriformes; Callorhinchidae.